GCACCUCAAUCAAAUUAUUUAGAUUAAUUCAUGGUUCGAAUAGAAGUCUUUGGUACGAGUUAACAUAAAAGCUUAAGCAUGUCAUACUUCUGCCUCUCAAUACACACAACUAUUUCAGUGUUCUGUUACCUAAUAGGCAUGACAAGCAUCCACGCUAUUACCCAAUAGGCAUGUCAAUGCUUCCACUUCUAUUGUCCAAUAGACAUUUCAAAGCAUCUACCUUUUAAAUGUGAAUCAAAGAGAUGCUGUUACAUUUUGAUAUCUGACAAUCUCAUAAUAUAACAAAGUGCCUUCAAGUAACAACUCGCAGCAUUUCUUCGUUGCGGCCAGGAAUCAAGCACAAACACAAAUCCCAGUCUAAGUAUUUUGGACAAAUAAAUUCACCCAGCUCCGCCGGCGUGCUCUUUGCGUCGAGCUCGACCACAUGCAGCUUCAGCAGCGGCAGCACACGAACAGCGGCGGCAACAAACACGGCCUCCAUCGCCAUGGUGACAUUUUUGCUUCCUCUUUCUUCUUACCUUUCAUCCCAGUCCAUGUUGCUGCCAUUACUCUUUACCUCCACGAGAACAAGGCGUCCAGUGCUAGAGCAUUAAGACGAAAAUGGUUAAGAGUUAAGACAGAAACAUUUCUCCCCAGAAAAUUGAAGUAAACGAACAGACAUAUGGUGGCCUCGCUUCAGGGGAGCAAAUCAGCAAACACAUGGACUGCAUAAUAACCAACCAGGUGGCGGAUGUACACCAUCGAAAUCGACCUAAUUGUCAAAAAAAGAGAGGCAAAUGCAAGAAGAACAGCACAAUCCAUAGAAGGUCGGCGGAGCGCCAAUGCCAGAGCUCCCGGAGGCAGACGAACAGAUAUGUUGCCAUCAAGGGCCGAAGGCAGAGGAGGUCUCCUCAGCGGCGCCGGCGCGCGGCGAAGACCUGGAGGCGCCCGAGGUCUCCUAGGCCAGAACCUCGUGCUCCUGGAGGAAGAUGGGGAGCGCCGAGCGCCGUGGCUGCUGCUGUUCUUGAGCACGAGCUGCUGUGGUUGAGCUCCAGCUCGUCGUCCCGGUGAUGGUUGUUGAGGCGGAAGCGAGAAUUAGGUCGGCGAUCUCGUGCAUCUAGGGCCGGCCAGGUAUCGUUGUGGGCCUGGUUGGGUUUAAAACUGUUUUUUGAUUUUUGGCUUAUAAGCCACAAAAACAUCUAAAUAGUUGGUUUUGACUUUGACUUUUUGCUUAUACCAUCAUCUAACAAUAUAUCAAGUCAAAUGUCAAAAGCCAAAACCGAAAGAACAUAAUUUGGUGCUUUUGUGGCUUAUAAGCCAAAAAUUAAAAAGCAGUUUUAAGACCAACCAAACAGGACCUAAAUAUCAAGAGUUGGUACGGGAUACAAAUACAACACGUAGAAAAACUACAUCUAUAUGUACACAUACUAUGUUUAUCAAUUGCAACUUCGAACAGCCAUGGCCACAGGCCUUGUGUGCCUUGAGCUUUACAAGGUUCUGUCUGGUGGCCACACAGUCGAAGACUAUCGCAAUACAUUUGCUAACCUUGCAAUACCGAUGUUCUCCAUGGCCGAACCUGUUCCGCCCAAGGUGAUCAAGCAUCAAGACAUGAGAUGGACCGUGUGGGACCGAUGGUCUAUCCAGGGCAACAUCACUGUUGCAGAACUACUAAAAUGGUUAAGCGACAAGGGUCUGAGUGCUUACAGUGUUUCUUGCGGGACAUCGCUGUUGUAAAAUACCAUGUUCACGAGGCACAAGGAUCGACUGAACAGGAAGAUGGUGGAUGUCGCCCAGGAGGUGGCUAAGGUGGAUGUUCCAGCAUACAGGAGGCAUUUUGAUGUUGUUGUGGCUUGCGAGGAUGAUGACGGGAACGACAUUGACAUUCCUCUUAUCUCCAUUUACUUCCGGUAGGUGCGGUCGUUCAUGUAAAAAUAUACGAUGAAUGUGCAAAGAAUUCUUGCGGAAAGAGAGAAUUGAAACAUUCCUAAGCUCCUCCUUAGUUCCUUCUCUAUAUGCAUUGGUCAUUUUGUGUGGGUGUUUCUGCUCUCGAUCCUGCGUGUUGGCAGGGACAGGGACUGCUCUGUUGUUGCAUACGAACUAUUUGCAGGUGUGCAAAGCUAUCUCUUGGAUGUUCUGAUGAAUGUAUCCGCUUGUUAAUCUAGAGUAGUACUGGAGUUGGAGCUUAGAUCCAUGACAAUCUCAUUCUUUCAACAACAAAAAAGGUCGUUUACUCACCUCACUGUAAUCAUCAGCUUCAGUUCGCACGGUUACUCCAGUAGUCCAGUUUGCGUUCAUGGAAUCCCCGGAGUUAGGUAUCAUGUCACUGUGAUUGGGUUAAGCUGCAGAGUUCAUUGCUGCAUUUAUUUUGUCGAUAUGGCCGGGUGCGGGCAACUCAACAAACCACCAUCUCUUGGCUCCCGGCACAUGCGUUGCAGGAGCCAGGGAGUGCACG
Molecule: long non-coding RNA, 2431 nt
Filed under: Brachypodium distachyon (stiff brome)
Lineage: Eukaryota; Viridiplantae; Streptophyta; Magnoliopsida; Poales; Poaceae
Description: long non-coding RNA (BDIS_LNC001346)
Source: RNAcentral